GGUUGAGUGCAGAACGAGCAGA
Molecule: non-coding RNA, 22 nt
Filed under: Arabidopsis thaliana (thale cress)
Lineage: Eukaryota; Viridiplantae; Streptophyta; Magnoliopsida; Brassicales; Brassicaceae
Source: RNAcentral